Molecule: small RNA, 165 nt
Filed under: uncultured Prevotella sp.
Lineage: Bacteria; Pseudomonadati; Bacteroidota; Bacteroidia; Bacteroidales; Prevotellaceae
Description: Bacteroidales-1 6S-Bacteroidales RNA suggested
Rfam family: Bacteroidales-1 6S-Bacteroidales RNA suggested
Source: RNAcentral
GUGUCGAUUCGAUCGGGAUACUCAUCAAAUAACAAUGAAAACUGGGUAGGUUUCUUUUGUUAAUGGCGGGCCACAUAAAUCCGAAAGGACUAAACGUUAAGUCGGUGGAUUACAAAGACGGAGAACUCUCAAAUCUUACAUACUCGGAGUUUCAUCACAUCAUCG